Molecule: long non-coding RNA, 748 nt
Organism: Eucalyptus grandis
Lineage: Eukaryota; Viridiplantae; Streptophyta; Magnoliopsida; Myrtales; Myrtaceae
Exons: 2
Source: RefSeq, a predicted model, not a curated record
UCUUCUGACAAAUUGGGAGUUAGUUAUUCUCCAAGGAAAGAGUUCCCUUAUGACCUCAACUUUUGGAGGAUCUUUCUUUUGUUGCCGGGUGAACCACAAAGCUUGUUUUCCAAGCGAUGCUUCCAAGCCAUCGUCCACUUAAGCGAAUGGUAUAUCACUUAAGAUUAGAGUAUCAUAUGGACAGACUGAAGAUCAAUGUUGAAUACUUCAACAUUUUUUUCUUCAUUUUUGUUCAUCAUUCUAUCGGCAAGUUGAAUAAGUCUUCACACCUGUCUACCGGAAGGCUUUCCUCAGGACUUUACCUAAGUUGAGCUACUUUUUGGGCCAUCUAGCAAAAGCCUAACGAACUGGCCCUGAUUCAAGUUGGAAGAGAAAAGUGCUGGUAUGAUCAAUACCACUUCCUCCUUGGGCUAGCAGAUCCUGCGAUUUGUCUUUUUUCUCUAUAGAAAAUAUGUAAGAAAAAAGGUUGUAUCAGCUGAAAUAAUUCAAUGAGGAGAAUAAUCGGCAGAGCUAUGAUGCCAAAAUCAAAACAUCUCUCUGCUAACAAGUCCGUCCAUUUAAGAAAAUCUUGCCAUCCCAUAGAAGAGACUGUGCAACAUAAACUGAAGCCAAUUCAGUGAAAAAUGAUUGAAACCCGAAAUUCAUAAUUAGAACUUGGAGUAGGAGGAGCACUCGUGUAGAACCGGAUGCAAUCACCGCCGGUCUCAAAAGCAAAGAGGGCCACAUAGCCUAACUCCGAGCUUGGUUA